RNAcentral lists this ribosomal RNA (1071 nucleotides) under Salmonella enterica subsp. enterica serovar Enteritidis. Its description in RNAcentral is "partial 23S ribosomal RNA". It matches the Rfam family "Bacterial large subunit ribosomal RNA", at positions 161 to 1272 of the family's 2925-position model. Lineage: Bacteria; Pseudomonadati; Pseudomonadota; Gammaproteobacteria; Enterobacterales; Enterobacteriaceae. The record is from RNAcentral.
AAUCCAUAGGUUAAUGAGGCGAACCGGGGGAACUGAAACAUCUAAGUACCCCGAGGAAAAGAAAUCAACCGAGAUUCCCCCAGUAGCGGCGAGCGAACGGGGAGGAGCCCAGAGCCUGAAUCAGCAUGUGUGUUAGUGGAAGCGUCUGGAAAGGCGCGCGAUACAGGGUGACAGCCCCGUACACAAAAGCGCAUGUGCUGUGAGCUCGAUGAGUAGGGCGGGACACGUGGUAUCCUGUCUGAAUAUGGGGGGACCAUCCUCCAAGGCUAAAUACUCCUGACUGACCGAUAGUGAACCAGUACCGUGAGGGAAAGGCGAAAAGAACCCCGGCGAGGGGAGUGAAAAAGAACCUGAAACCGUGUACGUACAAGCAGUGGGAGCACCCUUUGGGUGUGACUGCGUACCUUUUGUAUAAUGGGUCAGCGACUUAUAUUCUGUAGCAAGGUUAACCGAAUAGGGGAGCCGGAGGGAAACCGAGUCUUAACCGGGCGUUAAGUUGCAGGGUAUAGACCCGAAACCCGGUGAUCUAGCCAUGGGCAGGUUGAAGGUUGGGUAACACUAACUGGAGGACCGAACCGACUAAUGUUGAAAAAUUAGCGGAUGACCUGUGGCUGGGGGUGAAAGGCCAAUCAAACCGGGAGAUAGCUGGUUCUCCCCGAAAGCUAUUUAGGUAGCGCCUCGUGAAUUCAUCUCCGGGGGUAGAGCACUGUUUCGGCUAGGGGGCCAUCCCGGCUUACCAACCCGAUGCAAACUGCGAAUACCGGAGAAUGUUAUCACGGGAGACACACGGCGGGUGCUAACGUCCGUCGUGAAGAGGGAAACAACCCAGACCGCCAGCUAAGGUCCCAAAGUCAUGGUUAAGUGGGAAACGAUGUGGGAAGGCCCAGACAGCCAGGAUGUUGGCUUAGAAGCAGCCAUCAUUUAAAGAAAGCGUAAUAGCUCACUGGUCGAGUCGGCCUGCGCGGAAGAUGUAACGGGGCUAAACCAUGCACCGAAGCUGCGGCAGCGACACUGUGUGUUGUUGGGUAGGGGAGCGUUCUGUAAGCCUGUGAAGGUGUGUCGUGAGGCAUG